This 237-nucleotide ribosomal RNA is filed under the name uncultured bacterium. RNAcentral's name for it is "partial 16S ribosomal RNA". It matches the Rfam family "Bacterial small subunit ribosomal RNA", at positions 82 to 334 of the family's 1533-position model. The record is from RNAcentral.
UACCAUGAGUACAGUGGCGUACGGGUGAGUAACACGUGGGGAUCUACCUCCUGGUGGGGAAUAACUCUGGGAAACCGGAGCUAAUACCGCAUAAGCAGGGAACUGGAAAGCCGAAAGGCGCCGGAAGAGGAGCCCGCGGCCGAUUAGCUAGUUGGUGAGGUAACGGCUCACCAAGGCAAAGAUCGGUAGCCGGCCUGAGAGGGCACACGGCCACACUGGCACUGAAACACGGGCCAG